AUAUUGGGCAAUGGGCGCAAGCCUGACCCAGCAAUGCCGCGUGAAGGAUGACGCCCCUCGGGGUGUAAACUUCUUUUGUGUGGGAGGAGCAAGGACCGUACCACACGAAUCAGUCACGGCUAACUACGUGCCAGCAGCCGCGGUAAUACGUAGGUGGCGAACGUUAUCCGGAAUUACUGGGCGUAAAGGGUCCGCAGGCGGGUCGCCAAGUCCGGCGUGAAAGCUCCCGGCUCAACUGGGAGAGGGCGUUGGAAACUGGCGGUCUUGAAUCUCAGAGAGGUCGGUGGAAUUCCCGGUGUAGUGGUGGAAUGCGUAGAGAUCGGGAGGAACCUCGAAAGCGAAGGCAACCGGCUGGCUGAAGAUUGACGCUGAGGGACGAAAGCGUGGGGAGCGAACAGG
Molecule: ribosomal RNA, 399 nt
Filed under: uncultured bacterium
Lineage: Bacteria
Description: bacterial SSU rRNA
Rfam family: Bacterial small subunit ribosomal RNA
Source: RNAcentral